This 499-nucleotide ribosomal RNA is filed under the name uncultured bacterium. RNAcentral's name for it is "bacterial SSU rRNA". It matches the Rfam family "Bacterial small subunit ribosomal RNA", at positions 29 to 518 of the family's 1533-position model. The record is from RNAcentral.
AUGAACGCUAGCUACAGGCUUAACACAUGCAAGUCAGGGGCAGCAUUGAGAUAGCUUGCUAUUCAGAUGGCGACCGGCGCACGGGUGAGUAACACGUAUCCAACCUUCCCCUUAGUAGAGGAUAGCCCGGCGAAAGUCGGAUUAAUACUCUAUGAUGAUUUUGAGGACAUCUGACGAAUACCAAAGAUUCAUCGCUAAGGGAUGGGGAUGCGUCUGAUUAGCUUGUUGGCGGGGUAACGGCCCACCAAGGCGACGAUCAGUAGGGGUUCUGAGAGGAAGGUCCCCCACAUUGGUACUGAGACACGGACCAAACUCCUACGGGAGGCAGCAGUGAGGAAUAUUGGUCAGUGGGCGAGAGCCUGAACCAGCCAAGUAGCGUGCAGGAAGAACCUGCCCUAUGGGUUGUAAACUGCUUUUAUCAGGGAAUAAAGUGCGGCACGUGUGCUGUUUUGUAUGUACCUGAUGAAUAAGGACCGGCUAAUUCCGUGCCAGCCGCUGC